This 448-nucleotide ribosomal RNA is filed under the name uncultured bacterium. Its description in RNAcentral is "bacterial SSU rRNA". It matches the Rfam family "Bacterial small subunit ribosomal RNA", at positions 9 to 433 of the family's 1533-position model. The record is from RNAcentral.
GAGUUUGAUCCUGGCUCAGGACGAACGCUGGCGGCGUGCCUAACACAUGCAAGUCGAACGGAGAUAUUCGCUGAUGAAGUACUUCGGUAAUGAUUCUUGAAUAUCUUAGUGGCGGACGGGUGAGUAACGCGUGAGCAACCUGCCUUUCAGAGGGGGAUAACGUUCGGAAACGAACGCUAAUACCGCAUGACAUUGUUGAGUCGCAUGACAUGACAAUCAAAGGAGCAAUCCGCUGAAAGAUGGGCUCGCGUCCGAUUAGGUAGUUGGAGGGGCACCGGCCCACCAAGCCGACGAUCGGUAGCCGGGCUGAGAGGCUGAACGGCCACAUUGGGAGUGAGACACGGCCCAGACUCCUACGGGAGGCAGCAGUGAGGGAUAUUGGUCAAUGGGGGAAACCCUGAACCAGCAACGCCGCGUGAGGGAAGACGGUUUUCGGAUUGUAAACCUC